ACCUCAAAUCAGGUGGGACUACCUG
Molecule: ribosomal RNA, 25 nt
Filed under: Puccinia hemerocallidis
Lineage: Eukaryota; Fungi; Basidiomycota; Pucciniomycetes; Pucciniales; Pucciniaceae
Description: partial 28S ribosomal RNA
Source: RNAcentral